This 484-nucleotide ribosomal RNA is filed under the name uncultured bacterium. RNAcentral describes it as "bacterial SSU rRNA". It matches the Rfam family "Bacterial small subunit ribosomal RNA", at positions 28 to 507 of the family's 1533-position model. The record is from RNAcentral.
GACGAACGCUGGCGGCGUGCUUAAUACAUGCAAGUCAACUGAACUUGAGAUAGCAAUAUUUUAAGGGAGGUGGCGCACGGGUGAGUAACACGUAGGUAAUCUGCCUUUAGGUCUGACACAACCCCGAGAAAUCGGGGCUAAUAUCAGAUGAUGCAGCGGCUCGACAUCGAGACAGUUGUUAAACCUUCGGGGCCUAGAGAUGAGCCUGCGUCUGAUUAGGUAGUUGGCGGAGUAAUAGCCCACCAAGGCGACGAUGGGUAGGGGUCCUGAGAGGGAGAUCCCCCACACUGGUACUGAGACACGGACCAGACUCCUACGGGAGGCAGCAGUAAGGAAUAUUGGUCAAUGGACGAAAGUCUGAACCAGCCAUGCCGCGUGAAGGAUGAAGGCCCUCUGGGUUGUAAACUUCUUUUAUAGGGGACGAAAAAAGGGAAUUCUUUCCCACUUGACGGUACCCUAGGAAUAAGCACCGGCUAACUCCGUG